UUACGGCCAUAUCACGUUGAAACACCAGUUCCCGUACGAUCACCGAAGUUAAGCAAUAUCGCGCCUGAUCAGUAUCUAGAUGAGUGACCGCUUGGGAAUACCAGGUGCUGU
Molecule: ribosomal RNA, 111 nt
Filed under: Acanthosepion pharaonis
Lineage: Eukaryota; Metazoa; Mollusca; Cephalopoda; Sepiida; Sepiidae
Source: RNAcentral